This 738-nucleotide ribosomal RNA is filed under the name Salmonella enterica subsp. enterica serovar Enteritidis. Its description in RNAcentral is "partial 23S ribosomal RNA". It matches the Rfam family "Bacterial large subunit ribosomal RNA", at positions 2202 to 2925 of the family's 2925-position model. Lineage: Bacteria; Pseudomonadati; Pseudomonadota; Gammaproteobacteria; Enterobacterales; Enterobacteriaceae. The record is from RNAcentral.
ACCCUUUAAUGUUUGAUGUUCUAACGUGGACCCGUUACCCGGGUUGCGGACAGUGUCUGGUGGGUAGUUUGACUGGGGCGGUCUCCUCCUAAAGAGUAACGGAGGAGCACGAAGGUUGGCUAAUCCUGGUCGGACAUCAGGAGGUUAGUGCAAUGGCAUAAGCCAGCUUGACUGCGAGCGUGACGGCGCGAGCAGGUGCGAAAGCAGGUCAUAGUGAUCCGGUGGUUCUGAAUGGAAGGGCCAUCGCUCAACGGAUAAAAGGUACUCCGGGGAUAACAGGCUGAUACCGCCCAAGAGUUCAUAUCGACGGCGGUGUUUGGCACCUCGAUGUCGGCUCAUCACAUCCUGGGGCUGAAGUAGGUCCCAAGGGUAUGGCUGUUCGCCAUUUAAAGUGGUACGCGAGCUGGGUUUAGAACGUCGUGAGACAGUUCGGUCCCUAUCUGCCGUGGGCGCUGGAGAACUGAGGGGGGCUGCUCCUAGUACGAGAGGACCGGAGUGGACGCAUCACUGGUGUUCGGGUUGUCAUGCCAAUGGCACUGCCCGGUAGCUAAAUGCGGAAGAGAUAAGUGCUGAAAGCAUCUAAGCACGAAACUUGCCCCGAGAUGAGUUCUCCCUGAGACUUAAAGUCUCCUGAAGGAACGUUGAAGACGACGACGUUGAUAGGCCGGGUGUGUAAGCGCAGCGAUGCGUUGAGCUAACCGGUACUAAUGAACCGUGAGGCUUAACCUUACAACGCCG